Molecule: ribosomal RNA, 408 nt
Filed under: uncultured bacterium
Lineage: Bacteria
Description: partial 16S ribosomal RNA
Rfam family: Bacterial small subunit ribosomal RNA
Source: RNAcentral
AGUGAACGCUGGCGGCGUGCCUAAUACAUGCAAGUCGAACGGAGUGGCGCACGGGUGAGUAAUGUAUAGCUAAUCUGCCCUACACUAGAGGACAACAGUUGGAAACGGCUGCUAAUACUCUAUAGUGUAGGAUGAGGCUAUAUUGUAUCAGCUAGUUGGUGAGGUAAUGGCUCACCAAGGCUAUGACGCAUAACUGGUCUGAGAGGAUGAUCAGUCGCACUGGAACUGAGGCACGGUUGGGACUCCUACGGGAAGGAGCAGUAGGGAAAAUUGGCCAAUGGGGGAAACCCUGAAGCAGCAACGCAGCGUGGAGGAUGACAAGUUGCGGGGCGUAAACUCAGUUUGUUAGGGAAGCGGUACCUAACGAAUAAGCACCGGCUAACUCCGUGCCAGCAGCCGCGGUAAUUC